This 395-nucleotide ribosomal RNA is filed under the name uncultured bacterium. Its description in RNAcentral is "bacterial SSU rRNA". It matches the Rfam family "Bacterial small subunit ribosomal RNA", at positions 505 to 898 of the family's 1533-position model. The record is from RNAcentral.
GUGCCAGCAGCCGCGGUAAUACGAGGGGUGCAAACGUUAUUCGGAUUUAUUGGGCGUAAAGGGUUUGUAGACGGCACGCUAAGUCAGUUGUUAAAUCUCCCGGCUUAACCGGGAUACAGCGACAGAUACUGGCAUGCUAGAGGAUGGAAGAGAGAAGUGGAAUUCUUGGAGUAGCGAUAAAAUGCGUAGAUCUCAAGAGGAACACCGAUGGCGAAGGCAGCUUCUUGGUCCAUUCCUGACGUUGAUAAACGAAAGCGUGGGGAGCAAACAGGAUUAGAUACCCUGGUAGUCCACGCCGUAAACGAUGAUCACUAGACGUCAGUUCUGCUUGCAGAAUUGGUGUCGUAGCUAACGCGUUAAGUGAUCCGCCUGGGGAUUACGGUCGCAAGACUAAA